UGCUCCUUGGUGUGCAGGGCCGGCCGCAGCCAGCGGCAGCACAGCUCCCGGAGCCGGCUCAGGGACGCCCUCGGCCCCAUGUCCUCCUGAUACUGGAAGCAUCUGAAGAGCUGGCAACGGCUCGGACGGCAGGACAGCCCCAAACGCGAAAAGGCAGAGAAAACCGACGGUUCCGUGUCUUCACUCCUUCCUGCAGCAUUUCGAAUUUCACGUCACUUCACCCCAGUGAUCAAAAGUGGCAUCUCUGAGACAGGACCGCCUGGUUUCCCCGCCUCCUGAGGUCCCAGGGAGGACACGGCACCGCCAAAGAGGGGUUCUUGGCAGAAACGUUCCAUCGCAACGCGAUCCGGCCUUUAGACCCCACUUUGCACUGCAGAAAUAAGAGUGAGUGGGAGGCGGGGGGGGGUGGGGGCGCAGUGGAUGAGAGCGAUGGUGUUUAAGGGGACAAAUUUGUAACUCAUAGUGAAUAACCCAUAGAGAUCUAAUGCACAGUAGAAUGGAUAUAGACAAUACUACUGCGGGGUAAUUAUGUAGUUCGAUAAAUACCACUGCCUCAGCAGUCGUAUUAUAAUAUACAAACGUAUCGAAGUAACAGGCUGUACGCCUUUCACUGACACAAUGUCACACGUCAGAUUUAUUCAAUUAAAAGAAAAAAAAAAAGAACAAGUGAAAUGAUCCCUCAAGGAAACAAUGGAACGAAUUACAAAUGCAGAAUAUUUCUGG
Molecule: long non-coding RNA, 723 nt
Organism: Felis catus (domestic cat)
Lineage: Eukaryota; Metazoa; Chordata; Mammalia; Carnivora; Felidae
Exons: 2
Source: RefSeq, a predicted model, not a curated record